GACGAACGCUGGCGGCGUGCUUAACACAUGCAAGUCGAACGGAAAGGCCCUGCUUUUGUGGUGCGCUCGAGUGGCGAACGGGUGUGAAACACGUGAGUACCCUCCCCUUGACUUUGGUAUAACUUCGGGAAACUGUGUAUAAUACCGUAUACGUGUUCCUGCUGCAUGGGGGGUGUUGGAAAGUUUUGGCGGUUGGGGAUGGACCCGCGGCUUAUCAGCUUGUUGGUGGGGUAAUGGCUUACCAAGGCGUUGACGGGUAGCCGGCCUGAGAGGGUGACCGGCCACAUUGGGACUGAGAUACGGCCCAGACUCCUACGGGAGGCAGCAGUGGGGAAUAUUGCACAAUGGGCGGAAGCCUGAUGCAGCAACGCCGCGUGAGGGAUGACGGCCUUCGGGUUGUAAACCGCUUUCGGCUGCGACGAAGCGUAAGUGACGGUAAUGGCUAAAGAAGCACCGGCUAACUACGUG
RNAcentral lists this ribosomal RNA (468 nucleotides) under uncultured bacterium. RNAcentral describes it as "partial 16S ribosomal RNA". It matches the Rfam family "Bacterial small subunit ribosomal RNA", at positions 28 to 507 of the family's 1533-position model. The record is from RNAcentral.